AUGCUGCAUUUUACAUAGAGAGCUAUCUGCCAGUGUUAUUUUCCCGUGGCCCUGAGUGUGACCAUUGGUUUCAUCUUUCACCAGUUCUAUGUGAUGCAGCCCAAAGUGUCUGCUAUCUACACUGAUCAGGAUCAGAAUCCAGAACAUAUUUACAGGACCUUCUAAACCCACCUGAGAAAUAAGUCACAGCUAGAUCUAAAAGAUCAGCUAAGUAAGGCCUUUUAAUAGGACUUGUGCCACAGCAUCG
RNAcentral lists this long non-coding RNA (247 nucleotides) under Chinchilla lanigera (long-tailed chinchilla). Its description in RNAcentral is "lncRNA (ENSCLAG00000027730.1)". The record is from RNAcentral. Lineage: Eukaryota; Metazoa; Chordata; Mammalia; Rodentia; Chinchillidae.